UAGUCGUAACAAGGUAACCGUAGGGGAACCUGCGGUUGGAUCACCUCCUUACCUUAAAGAACCUGCCUUUGCAGUGCUCACACAGAUUGUCUGAUGAAUGAUGAACUUCUGAAUGUACUUUUGAGUGCAUUAAGAAGUUUUGCUCUUUAAAAAUCUGGAUCAAGCUGAAAAUUGAAACGACACACAUAUUAUGUGUGUUCGAGUCUCUCAAAUUUUCGCAAACCGAUGAUGAAUCGAAAGAAACAUCUUCGGGUUGUGAGGUUAAGCGACUAAGCGUACACGGUGGAUGCCCUGGCA
Molecule: unclassified non-coding RNA, 297 nt
Filed under: Enterobacter cloacae
Lineage: Bacteria; Pseudomonadati; Pseudomonadota; Gammaproteobacteria; Enterobacterales; Enterobacteriaceae
Description: partial 16S-23S ribosomal RNA intergenic spacer
Rfam family: Salmonella enterica Typhi npcRNA 44 (bases 145-252)
Source: RNAcentral